GUGGAUUGAACGACAGAGUCGGUCCUGGAUGUUCGCAGCUUUUUGCUUCAGCUGGCAGAGAAGAAAAAAGGUGGACACUGACCUGCGGCAGUGGCUUACUGUGAACGGGAAGAAAUAUCGGACACUGUUCUAGGUUUAUCUGUGCGUGCUGCGUCCUGAAAAGGCCUCUGAAACAAUCAGUAGACGUCUGGGAAGAGAAUUGAGGAAGUCGCGAGGUUUUUUCUUCUAGUAGUGUCGAGCACAUAACCCUUGGAUUCUUUUGUCCACAUGGCAUGGAAACAUAGCUAAAUUUAUGAAGUUCUGAAUAUUUCAGCUGCCAAAAUAAAGUACUUUCCUCUUUUUACAUGCAGUUUUUCUUCUUGGCAACAUUCUUUCUGAGUCAGAGGAAUAACCAGUUAUGUUAACUGGCUCCAGGUAAAAUGUGGCCUGAGUCACUGUGGAAACAUUGCUGAAAAGUUUCAUGGCAGAUUUUUUCCCCCCUUUUUUCAUUUUUUUCGAUUUUCUGACAUUGUCUUCUCUCAUUUUUCAGUGAGACCGAUUUUAUAGAUGAAGACUUUAACAGAUGUUCGUUUAUCUUAUUUUGUUUUGUAUUUUAUUUAAUAUUUUUGUUAAAAAAAUAUUCUUGCCAAUAAGCAGUAUGGAGGUAUCCAGGUAACUGUUUACAAAUGCCUUUGCUACCGGAAGGUAGGAAAUGUUCUACAGUUCACAUGAAAUUUCACAUGUGAAAUUUGGGUUUUUGGCCUCAGAGUUUGUGGAGUAAAACGUGUAUUUAUUUCACUUGGAGCUCAUGCUGCGUAUAGAGGAAUCUACAUGGAAUAGACAAAGGAAGAACCUGUCAGAGAAAAUAAAAGGUUGUUAAGACAGACAUUGGCAGACUUUGUAAAUAGCCUUGCAGGAUCUGUAAGCAAGAAGGAUGGGGAGCUGAUUUCUGUGAGGUCAAAUCUAUGUCAGACUGCUAUGAAUGUAGUAUCAACGGGAACUCGGGAUAUUAUCUCAAGGAAGACAAACUGGAAAACUAUAAAUCACGCAGUACUAACACCUUGUGUGGUCCUCUUGGAUUAGGCUAGAUAUUUUCUGAGUUGAUAUUUUGGGAUUGACUUACAUGUAUUUUUCUGUUCUAUAAUGGGAAUGAAUUAGUCUGCCUGGUCUGCAAGCAUAGCUCUUCAAAAAAAGGUCUGUCUCCUUGGAAUAAUUCAAAAUUAAAUAUAGUGGUAAAUUGUCUAAUCUUCCUUGUUAUUUUUAGAUGUAUUGUAGUUUCCUUUAUCCCACAGUGAUUAAAUAUUUUUCAAUUUUGGCAUUGACAUG
Molecule: long non-coding RNA, 1305 nt
Filed under: Parus major (Great Tit)
Lineage: Eukaryota; Metazoa; Chordata; Aves; Passeriformes; Paridae
Description: lncRNA (ENSPMJG00000016074.1)
Source: RNAcentral